This 465-nucleotide ribosomal RNA is filed under the name Vreelandella stevensii. RNAcentral describes it as "partial 16S ribosomal RNA". It matches the Rfam family "Bacterial small subunit ribosomal RNA", at positions 338 to 795 of the family's 1533-position model. The record is from RNAcentral. Lineage: Bacteria; Pseudomonadati; Pseudomonadota; Gammaproteobacteria; Oceanospirillales; Halomonadaceae.
CCUACGGGAGGCAGCAGUGGGGAAUAUUGGACAAUGGGGGGAACCCUGAUCCAGCCAUGCCGCGUGUGUGAAGAAGGCCCUCGGGUUGUAAAGCACUUUCAGUGAGGAAGAACGCCUGGUGGUUAAUACCCAUCAGGAAAGACAUCACUCACAGAAGAAGCACCGGCUAAUUCCGUGCCAGCAGCCGCGGUAAUACGGAGGGUGCGAGCGUUAAUCGGAAUUACUGGGCGUAAAGCGCGCGUAGGUGGCUUGAUAAGCCGGUUGUGAAAGCCCCGGGCUCAACCUGGGAACGGCAUCCGGAACUGUCAAGCUAGAGUGCAGGAGAGGAAGGUAGAAUUCCCGGUGUAGCGGUGAAAUGCGUAGAGAUCGGGAGGAAUACCAGUGGCGAAGGCGGCCUUCUGGACUGACACUGACACUGAGGUGCGAAAGCGUGGGUAGCAAACAGGAUUAGAUACCCGAGUAGUC